Lolium perenne is the source of this 2367-nucleotide long non-coding RNA. RefSeq lists it as uncharacterized. The record is from RefSeq and is a predicted model, not a curated record. NCBI's taxonomy places the organism in Eukaryota, Viridiplantae, Streptophyta, Magnoliopsida, Poales, Poaceae.
GCCUUCGAUCUCCAGCCGCGCAGGAUGGUGAAAACCUUGAUCGGGAGUGCCCGAUUCACUCCCCAAUCCCCGUCCAUCCGCUCCUCCCCAAUCCCCAUCUCUCCUCCUCCCCAACCAUGGCGGCGCGUCCGUUCCUCCAUCCUUCCACCCGCGGCUGCAUCCCGACGACAGCGGUUGGAUGGCGAUGGUCAGGGGUGGCGGACGACAGUGUGUGCCGAUUGAGGGCAGCGCGGAGAAGAAGCAGCGGGGGCGGCGGGGAGAAGAAGCAGCAAGGCGGCGACCCCACGACCUCCAGCAUCCUCACCUCCUCAAGCCCCCGUUGUAACGGCAUCAACACGGAGAGUGGCGGCGGUGCGACCUCGAGAAGGUCGUCCACAGCCGGCCAGGGCUCGAGAUCUGGCGGAUCGAGGGCUGCAGCAGCAGUGGGAUGGAUAUAGGUGGUGGUGGAGGCCGCCUCCUCUCCUCCUCCCCCAAUUCUUCCACUCCUAAAGGCAGUGGUGGAGGCUCGCCGGACCCAGACGGUCGACAUGCCUAGGAGGCGCGGGUUCGCUCAGGUUUUCUUUUCCCUCCUCUCUCCACUCUUCCUCUCUGUCUAUCUCUGGUAGCUCUCAUUCUCGUUUCUCUACUUCUUUCUGUGGAUGAGGGUGCAUCUGCAAGGAACUAGGCAGUAGGUGUGAGUCAAGGAUGGCGGCGAGCAGCAGCGGCGGAGGUCGAUGGCAUGCCUCCCCCUUUCCUCUCCCAGUGGCACAAGGCAUUGGAGGAGGACGGCCAGGAGGUGGUUGCUGCUUCCCUAGAAUCCAUGAGGAAGCUAGAGCUCCCGGCCCCCCUUUGCUACAGACCUAGGUUAAAAAGGCGCUGCCUAGCUAACUAUUCUUUCAAGCUGGUAAACCAUAUGUGGUGGUUCGAAGCUUUUAUUGCAUACUCGUUGGUGUCGGCAACCGUAUCUCCAUCUCCCUUCAUGGUGGUCGCCCCUCCGUGGUGCCCAGCUGCAGGCCUGGAUGUGGAGGAGGAGCAGGAUGUCCGGGAGAAAGCGAGCAUGCCGGUGGCAGCUUGAGUGAUGCAGUUUGAUAGGCCUCUACCCAUUAUGAUGAUAGCUUGCCUCAAAUGAUUCAAAUUUACAUCGAAUGAGGCCGUUGGAUGGGUUCCAGUGGUUCAAGUUGUACUGGCUACAUUAGGUUUUAUCAUGUUGGGAGGAGGUAGUGUCCAUCCCGGUUCUGGGGAAUCGAUUUGGGCAACUCUUGAAGUUUGGUUCUCACAUAUUGGCCCUGAAAGAUAAUGUUUGUGCAAGUGGCCUAUUGAUGUUACGCUUAUUUGAAAGCCAUAAGGAAGUCGGUGAUGAAGGAGCUGACCACUAUCGAAUGUGUCGGUUGCUAUCCAAUCCAUGUAUAUUGCAAACCUGGUACGAUGGUGGCCAAAUGGGGUUUGACACAAGGGGUAAGGCUGGAUGGAGCUUCCAGGGCCUCCGGUUUGGCGGUGGCCUGCGACUAUCAUAUAGGAAGUGGUUACCGUAUCCUUUUGAAAGAUGCAGCGGGCAAAAAAUAAGUUGUUGCUAAAUGGCUAGCAAGACCGUUCGAACUGAAUAAAUCUCAAGAAGCUGUAAAGGAUGAUUCAGGGGUCACUGCAGAGGAUGAAAUUAGAUGGAGGACAUAGAGGUAUAACCUGAAGGGAGGAGCAAGGAUAUGUUGAUGUGCCUUGAUGGUGGAGGCGGGUGUCACGGCCAUGGUCUUCCUUUCUGCCGCUGGUGGCGCCGGAUGGCAUCGACGGCAUGGAGUCAAACGUUUGACCAACAUCAAUGACAAGAUCAUUAGAUUUUUCUUGGGUACUAUAUCCUCGCCAUUCCUGUGGAGAGUGGAACACAGUCGAGAGGAGGUAUCAAGUAUGCCAUACACAGGUGCGGAGGAGUCGUCUCUGCAACAUGACGAAAGGAGAGAGGAGGAGGUGACUGGGGAGCUUCAAGGAGAGAUGGGUGUUGGGAUAUAUGUGCAAUUGUGCUCUUCUAAUUUAGUUAGUCCACUCAGUUUAAGUUAGAUGUGAAGCAAUCGCACAAGGCACAUGCUCAUGUCAUGACGUGUUAUGGAGCUCAUGUUUGAGGCAACGGAAUUAAAUCGAGCAGUUCUUGGUUCUCCCCUCGCAGGAAAGCGGGGCCAUAGCAGUCCAUGAGUCUGACCCAGUGGUGCCACGGUGUCCCUCUCCAGGCCAGUGUCAACACAUAUUGUACUUAGUGUUUGCUUCUGUGGACAAUCUGGUUCUACUUGGCACUUUUGCUUUUCCUAACGAAUUAUAAAUGGCCAUGUCGUGCCAUGUAUUAUGUGCACUAUAGUUUGAUUAGCAAAUUUCUGGGAAAUCGUUUAAGAGUUUCAACUGUUC